UUGGCGGCGGCGGCGGCAGCGGGAGCGCAGGGCAAGGUAGAUGCACUCACUCAGUCUUCACCCUGAGACAGAGAAAGGAAAAUCAUCAGAGGGAGAACAGACAAUGCUCCCUGCACGGAUGCGCGUGCCAGUUCAAAUAGUUUCUCUUCUCCCUCUGCAGUGAACUACCCUCGUAGGAGCUGGGCACCCAGGAGCAAAGCAGCAGAGCAUCUGUACACCACUCGGGGAGCAAAACCAACAGGCAUUUUCUCCUCCAGUCAUUCACACCUUUCCUUAUGUAACUGGUGCCGAAGCGUGUGCUUUGAAAGCUGCUUGCCAAAUCCAGGGGCUGGGAGGCGGCACGACUGCUUCUAGCACUCUAGAUGAAAUUCGGGGAAGGUGGAGGGGAGGGCGGAAGAAACCAAACCCAAACACUGAGCGACCCGUACAAAUCCACAGCUGCGAAUCGAGGCUGUUCCAGGUGUCUGUGGCUGCACUGCCCUCGGGGCAGCGCCGGCACCCUGACCACCAUCUGCGGAGGAUGCCUGGCCUGGCGAGCCAGCGCGGGCCCGGGUGGAUGGGUGAGGAGCUGGGAGCCAUUUUUCUUAUGCAAUAUUUAAAAAAUAAAUAAAUAAUCAGGUAGUGCAGCGAGGAGAAAAGCCCCAGGGAGGCUGGAGGUGGCUGAAUUACUCUCCUGAAUGGUGCCUUGUGCUGACAGAGCCCGCAGGUAGCUUGCAGAUUUUUUUUUUUUUUUUUAAAAAAAAAAAAAAGGAAGCUGGGACUGUUUGCCAGUGCAAAACAGGUAUCCUCUGCUUCGUGGUUUUUGGGUGGCGCUGGGGCCGAUGGUGAGGAGCGUCGGAGGAGGGAGAAGCCCCCCCAGCCCACUCCCGCUCGCCCAGGCGCAGCGGCCUCGAGCUGCCCGGCACGCUCGGAUCCCUGCCGUGCCCGCCGGGCAGUUGUGCCCUCUCCAGUAGGUGCCGUACGCUGGGCGUUUGGUUUGCUUUUUAAGGGAAAAACAGUAAUUUAUUUGCUUUGAUUUAAUCUCAUAACAAUGAGUAAUUCCUUCCUACUGCUCUGUAGUGGCCUAGAAAAGGACAGCGUCGUCUCCACUGUAGCAAGAAGGCUUCUCCCAGGGCAUAAAAUUUUAAUUAGGAACAAUCACGCAGCCUUGAAAUGGGAAUUGUGAGCAGCAAAAAAAAGUCAAACCAUCAAUAAAAUAUUCAAUGGCAGAAAUGUAUUAUUGACACAGCCUUUAGAGCAGAUAAAAGCGGGAAGGCGGGGGGGGGAGCCAGAGCGGGUCUCGGGCCUCGCUCGGUUAAAUAAAGCGUGGGGACCUGCCUGCUUGCGGGGCCAUUGCACGCCCCUCGUGCCAGGGGGAAUAUAGGUCACCCACGGGUGGGGAGUUUCCUCAGGUAAUUAAUGAGUUUGAUUAACACUUCUCCCCCGCUGCAGUGUGCCUCGUGGCAGGGGGAGAGGUGUUAAUCAAAGUCAUUUAUUACCUUACAAAACACCGCUGCCUUGGCAGCAGCUGGGUGAUGGCUAAUGGCUUAUAGGACACAAAACGCCAAAAAAAAAAAAAAAAAGAAAAAAAAAUUCUGCAAAAUGCCACAGCCCUGAGCUGAAGCAGCAGCGUUAGCCCCCGGCCACGGUGCUCUCCCCAGCCCCACACCCGAUUGCCUGACCCCCGCCGGGGACACUGUCCCCAGCCUACGCAGCGGUUCCAAAUCCUGCCUCCCAGCCGAGGCGCAUCAGCUGCGGGGCCAAAAUCUGCCCAGACGGAUGUUUUUGAAACCCUUAUUUUCCCCCUUGCCCCACCCCACAGAAAGAUUGGUGCUGGUUUGGCCUGUCAGAUCACGGCUGAACAGAAAUAACCUGCAAAAAUAAUAAAUAACAUAUAGGCAGAAGCACAGGGCAAAAAUCCCAUACAAAAUCGGAGAUUCGAAUUAAUUUUCUGCCCCUUUUUUUCCUGACGGAGGUGCCGUAAGCGAUGACUCUCUUCUCUUUAUUCCCAUUUAUUUCGCAGAAGGCAAAGCUACAAAUGCAGCCGCAAAACUGAAAGAUCCAGUUUUCUGAAAGAUCCAGUUUUUAACCUGCAGAGGUCAGUUUUUCAGGGCACGUGGGGGACUUCACGUAACAUCCCAAAAUCUGGCGGUGUCCAAGGCAAGCAUGUUUUCUGAGCCUGCUUUUUGACUGUUUUUCCUCCCAGGAACCAGUGAAAUGCUCCUUACAGCCUGCAUCACCCUCUGCUUCUCUUCUUAGCAAGGUGGAGUCUCAUUUUAAAAGCAAGAGUGUCCAAAGCAUGAGUGCAAGAAGCGCAAAAAGCAAGCAUGGGAGAAACUCCUUCAUGCAGCUGCGUGGAGCAAAUGUAUUUUUCACUCAGUUUCCCCAAGUUACUCUUGCAAGGCUGCUCCUCCGCUGGCCAGGCCCUUCUACCUCCAGAUGCUCUGCCUGGCUGAUACGACUGCAAAACAAGAUGAAAACAACCUGAGCAACCAACCCCAUCCCGGUGGGCGAGCGCUUGCGAAAAGUGGAACGGAAAACAGGACACAGGCGAGCGCGAAGCCCGGGCUGGGAGACGGACGUGCUGAUGCCGCAGAUACCCGGCGAGGCUGGCAGCUCACAGGGGCUCGGCUCCGGCUGGGCGUCCUCCUCGGACCUGGCCUGCAGGACGGUCACCGUGGCCCCCGUCUGCUGAAUAAACUGCUGCAAAUUA
This is a long non-coding RNA of Tyto alba (common barn owl), 2692 nucleotides long. RefSeq lists it as uncharacterized. The record is from RefSeq and is a predicted model, not a curated record. The transcript is spliced from 4 exons. Lineage: Eukaryota; Metazoa; Chordata; Aves; Strigiformes; Tytonidae.